CCCCCUCUGAGCUGUCACCCCGGGAACUGGGGCUAAUCCCAGAUAGAUGAAGACCCCUGGAACGGGUCCUCGUCCAAAAGGCACCACGGUUAUGCUCUGCGGUGUCGCUCAAGGAUGGGGCCGCGUCCGAUCAGGCUGUUGGUGAGGUAAUGGCUCACCAAACCUAUAACCGGUACGGGCCGUGGGAGCGGGAGCCCGGAGAUGGGAACUGAGACAAGGUCCCAGGCCCUACGGGGCGCAGCAGUUACGAAAACUUGUCAAUGCACGAAAGUGUGAACGGGCUACCCCGAGUGCCGUCCGCUGAGGAUGGCUUUUCUCUGCUUUAAGAAGGCAGAGGAAUAAGGCGAGGGCAAGUCUGGUGUCAGCCGCCGUGGUAAUACCAGCUCGCCGAGUGGUAGGGAUGAUUAUUGGGCCUAAAGCGUCCGUAGCUGGCCUUUCAAGUCUCUUGUUAAAUCCAACGAUUCAAUCGUUGGACUGCAGGAGAUACUGCAAGGCUAGGAGGCGAGAGAAGCCGACGGUAUUUUCGGGGUAGGGGUAAAAUCCUAUAAUCCCGAGAAGACCACCAGUGGCGAAGGCGGUCGGCUAGCGCGCGCUCGACAGUGAGGGACGAAAGCUGGGGGAGCGAACCGGAUUAGAUACCCGGGUAGUCCCAGCUGUAAACGAUGCUGGCUAGGUGUUGAAGCGGCCACGAGCCGCUUCAGUGCCGCAGGAAAGCCAUUAAGCCAGCCGCCUGGGGAGUACGGCCGCAAGGCUGAAACUUAAAGGAAUUGGCGGGGGAGCAC
This 782-nucleotide ribosomal RNA is filed under the name uncultured archaeon. RNAcentral describes it as "bacterial SSU rRNA". It matches the Rfam family "Archaeal small subunit ribosomal RNA", at positions 109 to 879 of the family's 1478-position model. The record is from RNAcentral.